AUGCUGGGUGACUCAGAGGUGGCAUCAGGCCCAGGAGUCACCACUGCACCCAUGGCCUGGGUGAGGGCACCACAGCUUCUGCCUGGGCCUGGGCGAGACAGGGCCUCAGCCUUCCCGUUGGUCAUUUUUGAUCUAGAUUCUUGUUUUCUCCACUUCUCUUUGUUUUCUCUUUUGUUCCACUUGUGCAAAUGGUGCAAAAUCAUCUGAGUUGCCUUUUACUGGUGGUGAAGACAAAACAAUCCUAUUCUAGCUGGAGACUCAAGGACAAUCUCUUCAAACUUCAGGCCCAAAGCACAUGAAAUAACAUGAAAAGAGGAGGGUGGGCAAGCAAGCAAGGAGGACGAAACUUCAUCAUUUAAUUGGACAGUUGACGCCUGUAUGCAAAUGGACUAAAACUUAUAAAAAUGUGAGAUCUCACGACCAAGCCCUCUUUUGCUUCCAUCUUGGAGCCAUCCAGGUACUGCCAGGGUGUGGCCUUUGAAGGCUCUUCAGUAAAUAUCCUCUUUAUUCCUCUAAACUCCCUCUAGCCUCUGUUCCAGCUCCUCAAGGCAUCAACCUCUCCAGGUGUUUGUCUCUCCCCAGGGACACGGUGACAGUCAUGAGCUGUCCCUGCUGUGUCCCCCACACCUCCCACAAGGACAGAUGCUCCAGUCACACCUCCCUGAACCCACAGGUGUGCCCUUGCCGUGACAGAAUUCCCACCCCUAUGCUCAUGGAUCCGAUUUGGUUGAUGGGGCCCUCAUCCUUUCCAAGUUUCAUGGCUUUGAAAAAAAGCUCUACUUCAGCAAUUUAAGCUUUUCUUCCUGGAGGCACAAUACUCAGACACGAGGAAAAGACAAAGAGGCAAAACCUCCCACACGGGAAGGAAAAAAUAGAUUUCACCCCCAGCUCUGCCUGACUGUAUGAGGUUUGUGUGUCUGCCACAACUUCAGGGCUUCACCCUUAGGGUGACCAGGGAGGACACUCUGGAAAAUGGGAAUUCUGGAUCCUUUUCAGGCAAUUUCAGCCUGGUUUUGUUCACAGUGAUGAAGAAAACCAAGGGAUUAAAUGAAUUCCAAAGUCCUGCACCCUUCAGGACAAACUCAAUGCCAACAGUAAUUUCUUAUCACCCCAGUUUGAGUCACACCAGAACCACAGCGGGCAAGAACUGUGACAAGGUGGAAUGGAACCUGUGCCAUUGCAAACAUCCCCACAAAUCUCACCUUUUGUGUGUUUAAUGUCCUUGAAACUGACUCCACCAUCAAGGGUUUAAUAUGGAGAGAGAAACCCAGCUCAAACCCAGUUCAACAGAGCCCAUGUCACCUUUUUCAUUCCCAUGGCCUCAGAAAUGAGCAGAGCAAAAGCAAAUGAGCAGAGAAAAAGUACAAAGCUCUGCAUCACUCCAACUGAAAUUGAAUUUGAAAUUUGGGUUAUGCAACAACAUGGCAUUGUCUCCUUUUAUUAAGGCCACCAGCUCCUGGAGGUCCUGGGCGUGUUAUUGUUCUCAAUUAACACACGUCUCCCCUUUCUCCCUGGAAUCCUUCCCGCUGGUUUGCAUUGUAACAAUACCUCCAACUCAUGGGCUCCAAGCUGGAUUUCAAUUUGUGAGGCCACUUUCGCUUCAUAACCCACCACAGAAUGUUCAGUCUCCAUUUGAACAUGUUGCAUUAAUUAAAUUCCCAGAAACAAACAAACAAACAACAAUUUCUUUGCUUUCUUUCUUAUUAAGUGGCUUGGGUGUGAAGAAUAAACCUUUACAUUAAGGAAAAAAACCCUCAGCAAAUGAAGCCAGACAGUAGCUGUGUCUUUUGGCAAUGAGAAUAAUCUAAUAAAACAUCACCUUUCAAAGACAAAAAAAGUUCCUCUGGACACUCAGUAACGUCACCUCGGCACGAAAUAUAUUCCACUCUUGGUUUGUGUUUUUUGGACCAACGCAGCUUAGGAUGGUUGUUAUCCCAAGCCCAUGCCACCAGAGUUGGAAUUAAUAAUAUAAACGGUGAGCCCAAGCCCUGAUUGACAGCUCUGAUUCUGUUAAUACCUCCUAGUUGGGCUUCCACCACGGUCAGAAGUUAAAAUUUAUUUUGACAAGCUUUCUGCUGGUUAUGGAGGCUGGGAGCUUUAUACCGGGGUAUCCAGUGAUUAAAUAUCUGGCAUAGAUUAUCAAAAACCAGAGGGGGAAGGCAGGGAAGGCCUCUUGAUGACAAACUGGAUCCUGCAGCGCGGCCAACUUGGUUUUAAUUAAGUUAUUACCGCCCUUAAUGGGAAGGGGCUGUU
Long non-coding RNA from Passer domesticus (house sparrow), 2253 nucleotides. RefSeq lists it as uncharacterized. The transcript has 4 exons. Lineage: Eukaryota; Metazoa; Chordata; Aves; Passeriformes; Passeridae. The record is from RefSeq and is a predicted model, not a curated record.